AUGAUAGAGGCGCGUUUGACAAGAGUAUCUCCCGGACAUGCGGCAGGCGCCGCGGGAGAGAAAGGGGAUAACGCCGAGGCGCCGGAGCGCCGCCUGAAGCUCCGGAAGCCGGGACGCGGGAAAACAUUCCGCGGACUGUCACAUGAUGUGGAGAGCUGUC
Molecule: non-coding RNA, 160 nt
Filed under: pig gut metagenome
Description: Lysine riboswitch
Rfam family: Lysine riboswitch aptamer
About the family: Riboswitches are metabolite binding domains within certain messenger RNAs that serve as precision sensors for their corresponding targets. Allosteric rearrangement of mRNA structure is mediated by ligand binding, and this results in modulation of gene expression.
Source: RNAcentral